RNAcentral lists this long non-coding RNA (898 nucleotides) under Olea europaea (common olive). RNAcentral's name for it is "long non-coding RNA (OEUR_LNC000647)". The record is from RNAcentral. Lineage: Eukaryota; Viridiplantae; Streptophyta; Magnoliopsida; Lamiales; Oleaceae.
UUUAUAAUUCCAUUUCCUUGUUAAUUAUAGAUCUUAGAUCAUAUUGUGGAUAAGGUUAAUUUGAAGGGACUCUUCCUUGCCUGUUGGAUAUUUUUCCAUGAGAUUUUCCUUGUCCCUAUUAACAGCGAUGGAGUGUAACAAAGAAGAGGCCAUUGAUGCAAAAGAUAUUGUGCAAAAAAAUGGUGGAAGAUAAGUGUUUUACUGGAGCACUGAAGAUUGCGAUGAAGGCCCAACACGUUGAUCCUGAUCUAGAGAACAUUUCUCAGAUUAUUAUGGUUCGUGAUGUACAUUGUUUUGCUGAGACCAAGGAUUAUGGGGGCGAAAAAGACUGGUACAGUAUUCUCAAAUUUGAGCGAACGGCUGAUGAAUUGUUAAUAGAAAAGCAGUUUCGAAAAUUAGCUCUCUUACUUCAUCCUGAUGAAAACAGAUUUUCUGGUGCGCGGAGGAUGCCUUUGUGCAUAUUGUUGAUGCUUGAGCUGUUCUUGCAGACCGUGAAUGUAAAACGACUCGAAUAUCUGAAGUACGAAGUGUUGGGAGACUAUCUGGGGCUAAAAACAACUUUUUAAACAAUGGUACUUCACAGUUCAAGCAUCAGCAGCCGCAACAGCUGUCACAACAAGGAUUACUUAACAAUUAAUCAACCAGUAGAAAGUUCUUCAAUGAAUAUGAAGUUAAUUUGCCAGGCAUGCCACCAGGAGGAUCCAAUAGGCGCCUACCUGCUUUUCCUCAACAGGAAGAGGCUACUAGCCGGCACCUGUCUAGAGUUGGCUCACAAAGUGCAUAUGAGAGCUCUACUUCAGCAACGGCAGCUGAAAGAAAUAUGGGUAAUGAAAAAGCAGCUUAUAAAAUAUUGCCAAAGACUUGAGACAAUUGAGAAGGGUGAGGGCUCCAGGCCGAC